Molecule: non-coding RNA, 74 nt
Filed under: Dietzia timorensis
Lineage: Bacteria; Bacillati; Actinomycetota; Actinomycetes; Mycobacteriales; Dietziaceae
Source: RNAcentral
GGGAAGCCGGUGAGAUUCCGGCGCGGUCGCGCCACCGUGAGAUCGGCCCGAAAACGGAUCGAUCGAGUCGGACC